UCCACAUCAGCCUGAAAUUUACAAAAUGAUUGAACAUAUUGAUUACAUGAUAUAACAAACAUGCUAGUAGUUGUACUAAUAAUGAGAACAACAGUCAGAAAAACUGCAUAUAUCAUUACUACUCUUGUAUCAAAGCAUAAACAAAAUCAGGGCAAUUUGACUAAAAAAAGAAUCCAGACCAUUAUAUCAUAUCCACUUAGCGUGAUAUUAAAGACGAUAACAAAAAGGCUCUUCAUCUUAAAAUUUGUGUGCAAAGAUAGAAGGGAAAUGCAAAAAAAAAAAGCGAUUAAAACAAACCAAAGUAAAAUGGACACACAAGGAUGGAUCCAUGCAAUGGGGCCCCAAACUUCAAAAAAUGAAAAUAAGUUUUUAUAUCAUAUCAAGCUGUUAAAUUGCCCCCUCAAUGAAAACAAAACUCAACUCAACUCAAC
Molecule: unclassified non-coding RNA, 431 nt
Filed under: Hevea brasiliensis (rubber tree)
Lineage: Eukaryota; Viridiplantae; Streptophyta; Magnoliopsida; Malpighiales; Euphorbiaceae
Source: RNAcentral